CGCGUGGGGUGAAUAAGGUUUCGAUCGUAAGCUCUGUUGUUAGGGAGACAGUACGUUCGAUAGGCGGUACUGACGGUACUAACCAGAAAGCACGGCUACUACGUGCCAGCAGCGCGGUAAUACGUAGGUGGCAAGCGUGUCUGAAUUAUUGGGCGUAAAGGGCUCGCAGGCGGUUUCUAAGUCUGAUGUGAAAGCCCCGGGCUCAACCGGGGAGGGUCAUUGGAAACUGGGGAACUUGAGUGCAGAAGAGGAGAGUGGAAUUCCACGUGUAGCGGUGAAAUGCGUAGAGAUGUGGAGGAACACCAGUGGCGAAGGCGACUCUCUGGUCUGUAACUGACGCUGAGGAGCGAAAGCGUGGGGAGCGAACAGGAUUAGAUACCCUGGUAGUCCACGCCGUAAACGAUGAGUGCUAAGUGUUAGGGGGUUUCCGCCCCUUAGUGCUGCAGCUAACGCAUUAAGCACUCCGCCUGGGGAGUACAGUCGCAAGACUGAAACUCAAAGGAAUUGACGGGGGCCCGCACAAGCGGUGGAGCAUGUGGUUUAAUUCGAAGCAACGCGAAGAACCUUACCAGGUCUUGACAUCCUCCGACAAUCCUAGAGAUAGGACGUCCCCUUCGGGGGCAGAGUGACAGGUGGUGCAUGGUUGUCGUCAGCUCGUGUCGUGAGAUGUUGGGUUAAGUCCCGCAACGAGCGCAACCCUUGAUCUUAGUUGCCAGCAUUCAGUUGGGCACUCUAAGGUGACUGCCGGUGACAAACCGGAGGAAGGUGGGGAUGACGUCAAAUCAUCAUGCCCCUUAUGACCUGGGCUACACACGUGCUACAAUGGACAAAACAAAGGGCAGCGAAACCGCGAGGUUAAGCCAAUCCCACAAAUCUGUUCUCAGUUCGGAUCGCAGUCUGCAACUCGACUGCGUGAAGCUGGAAUCGCUAGUAAUCGCGGAUCAGCAUGCCGCGGUGAAUACGUUCCCGGGCCUUGUACACACCGCCCGUCACACCACGAGAGUUUGUAACACCCGAAGUCGGUGAGGUAACCUUUUAGGAGCCAGCCGCCGAAGGUGGGACAGAUGAUUGGGGUGAAGUCGUAACAAGGUAGCCGUA
Molecule: ribosomal RNA, 1098 nt
Filed under: bacterium B1-12-2
Lineage: Bacteria
Description: bacterial SSU rRNA
Rfam family: Bacterial small subunit ribosomal RNA
Source: RNAcentral